This is a long non-coding RNA of Seriola aureovittata, 578 nucleotides long. RefSeq lists it as uncharacterized. The record is from RefSeq and is a predicted model, not a curated record. The transcript has 3 exons. Lineage: Eukaryota; Metazoa; Chordata; Actinopteri; Carangiformes; Carangidae.
CCAGCGAUAAGUGACGAGUUAUCGUAAUUUACAGCAGUGAAAACAUCAUAAGCAAACAUACGAAGCUUUGCAGCAGCUGAACUGAAAAACAGCAGCAGCAGCAGAUGAAGAAGAAGAAGAAAAAGAAGAAGAAGAAGAAGAAGAAGAAGAAGAAGAAGAAGAUACACACUGACAGAAACACAAUGCUUGAGGUCUCUGUAAAUGAUUCCGAGACUGUGAAGGUGAUCGAGCGCCAGGGCGAGUUCAGCCAGCUGAAACAGGUGAAACAGGUGAAACAGGCGUUACCUCCUUGGAGAGCCGAGUGAAGAGAUCUCCUCCUCGGAGAAAAUCCAGGAUCAAGUAAAGCUUCCCCUCCGUCUGAAACGCUGCAGGAAGGAGAGGAAGGAAGGAGAGGAAGGAAGGAAGGAGAGGAAGGAAGGGAGGGAGGAAGAAGAGGAAAGUGAUUUUAGAUAAGAUCUGAGAAGUUCCCGCCUGCUGAACAUUUCCACUGCCAGCUUUGUUGCUCUGCUAGAAGAGGAGCAACGAGCUCUGAUUGGCCGGAGCGGAGCUGGUGACUCAUCAGGGAGGUCUGUUAUUGU